RNAcentral lists this long non-coding RNA (2920 nucleotides) under Triticum aestivum (bread wheat). RNAcentral's name for it is "long non-coding RNA (TAES_LNC020685)". The record is from RNAcentral. Lineage: Eukaryota; Viridiplantae; Streptophyta; Magnoliopsida; Poales; Poaceae.
CACUUCAUAAUAUACGGGAGUUUUUGUUUUUGCUUUGCUUUGAGAUAGCUACCUGAGCAGCCAAAGACUCUAGUUUUAGAGCAUGCUUAAUAAGGAGCAUUCAGUUCACUGGUUACAUAAAUCCUGGUCGUGGCUUUGUUCAUGCAAGUAGCAGACGCAUUAAGAGACUCUCUUGAAGCUGGUCAAAGAGCAUUGUAGCGGAGCAUUGUUGAUGGUGAGCCUAGUUGCAUGAAGGACCAUUUUCCUCUUGAGAUGUCAGUCGAGGAGAAGCUAAUAUUAUAGGACAGGUAACCUGCAGUGAAACACAGGACAGAACACAAAGUUAAAGCAUGCUUAUGGCAGAUGAAUUUAGGAACAACACAUGAGAACAUAUCUGGGUUGUACCUAUAGGUAAUUAAUCUCUGCAUAGCUGGCGCAGAGUAGUCACUGCCUUGAUUUCUUUAAUAUGCCUUCCAGUAGUAGAGCUCCUUUUUUAGAAGUUAUUCUGGUUAGAGAUGAACAAUCGCUAUGUCUAUUUAGGCUUAAAAAUGCAGAGGUAGACACACAGUAUAAGAAUUGGCACCUUUUGUUUUCGGUCUUGGUCAUCUAACACUGGUCAGCCUUAUCAUUCUUUCCUUCAACAGUUGCUGAAAUAGCUUCAGCCUUAUCAUCAGACUACUCCUGUUGCACCUAGAAAACCAAGUGGUUUGGUAACAGAGCAAGAUGAGAUAUUAAUAUCCAAAGGACUGGCUCGAGCACGUUUUAGCUCACUCAAUCAGCUAGACAGCUUCGAAUAGAAUUUCUUUAUGUCCAUCUAUAUAUUUGUAUCUCCGUAAAACAUGCCACACUAGGUUUUCUUAUCCAAAGGACUGGCUCGAGCACGUUUUAGCUCACUCAAUCAGCUAGACAGCUUCGAAUAGAAUUUCUUUAUGUCCAUCUAUAUAUUUGUAUCUCCGUAAAACAUGCCACACUAGGUUUUCUUCCUCAUGUGAGAUAAGAAUUUGAUUGUACAAUUGUGCAAUCGAGAACGGCAUGAGAGAAAGCUAUAUCAACACAGCAACUAUCUUUUGCUGUACAAUUGAGUUGCUUUCAUAUGAGAUCUAAAAUAUGUGCAUUCACAUGUGUUUAUAUGAGUUGUAGAAAGAAACUUUACCUAAGAAGAAGGACCCAAUAAUCAUAUUUUCACAAAAGCACAAUUAGGGAUUACAGAGGAUUUUACCCUUGAAGCGGACAUGUUCUUUGGUUCGCUCUUUGCUUCUCAGGGAAUACACUAAGCAUCUCCUUAGCUUCCUGUUGCUCGCCUUGCAGGGCAUCACUGGUGUACUUUCCCGACCGCUCCUUCUUCUCUAGCACCAUUCACUUCAAUCUACUUCUCAUCAGUGAGCAGCACAUGUGAGACAAACUCUCUCAUCAUUUUCAGUGAUUGUUCCAAUAGAAUCCUGCGUGCACAAUUAUACAAAAGAGUCAAUGUAACCACAAUAUUACACGGCAAAGGGGAUUGAACUUAAUAAUAACUGAUAACCCACCAACUUGCAACCUUCAAAAUCCAGCUUCAGCUGCAGCCUCUGUACACUUUGCUUGAAGUUAUCUUGCAUACUCACUUCCUGAAACAAGCCUAAAAUGGUCACCAGAAGAUAAUAAUUGUGAGCAUUUGUAUCUUUUUCUGUCGCAAGCUUGGCAGUGUUUUUCCUAGGCUUGCUACAUGCCCAAGAACAUAGAACAACACGUACUUCCAUAAUUCAGAUUGAAUUUGUUUAUCCUGAUAGUCUUUUAGAUCUCUGAAAAACCGUGGAACUGUAAACAGUCAGAUCAAGUAACUGUCUUCUCCUAAUUCCAUAGCGAGGUGAUCCAAUUCGUUUGGACAGUCAGACAACAAAUUCUGUAUAACAAUAAAGAUCUUAGGGCCUUUAGGUGUUUGUUCUGUUGAUCUAUAGAUGCAGUGAGAUUCCUCAGGGGAACAUCCAACUUUGAAGCACGGUCAGUUCUAAAAAUUAGAUUCACCACCGGCCUAGUUGCAGCACCUAGCUUUAUCUCCUCUUGCUAUUUCUGAAUGCAGUGUUGUAUUACUACGACUACCGUUUAGAUUGGCCGAAACAAAGAAAAGCUAAGAACCAGACUAAAAUAUAAAAUUAUCAUGUGUUUUUAGGCAAAGAUAAACAUGAACAUCAGAUACCAAUCUUAACUCAUAUUUUUCUGUCUGGAAUCAAAAAUUGAACCAGGCUGAAUGACAAGUAGUUUCAUUUACAUUUACAAAUCAAUAAAGAAAAGAAAAGAAAAACAUAGCCAUAAGAAAGAAGAAAAUACAAGAUGUGUACGUGUUUCAUUUACGUUUACAAAUAAAAAAAUUGUAGGACAGUAAUUUGCUAAGGGCAGAAAAAACAUGACAGCAGAAGAAGCAACAAAAUUUAUACAUGGCAGAGGUGCAAAUUUAGUGAGCAUUGGCAACUAACCAGGUAAUGGAGGGAACAUGCUUCCUCUUCUCCAUUGAAUCCAUCACCGUACGGCUAGGUGAGGAGCCACCGCUUGCAUCUUCCGCCUUCGUUGGGCGAGAGGAGAGGAAGCGCACAUCAAUUUCGUCUGUCUUAUUCACCGAGCGAUGCCGGGCGAGGGGGUGAAUGGAUCCGACCUUCCCUAAUGAGAGCAGAGUAGCAGGGAAGGGGGGACGAACUCCGGAGGCGCUCCGGGCACCGCGAAGCUGGUCGGCUGCGCGGACAUAAACGGCGGCGACUACGCACCCGGUCCAGAGAAAGGAAGGAGAAGAGGAGGCGGGCGGCGCGAGAGGAGCCUCAUGGUCGAGGGAGAAGAGGAGGCGGCUGGGAGAGGACGCCCGAACCGUCUUACGUCUAGUGUUCUGGGCGGUUUAAAGUGGACGACGCUGAUGUGCGGGACCAGAAGGGAACAGGGGCCACCAGCCAGAGGGCGAAACAUGGAGCGAUGGUCA